GAGUAACAGGUGGGUAACCUGCCCGGAAGCAGGGGAUAACACUUGGAAACAGGUGCUAAUACCGUAUAACAACUGAAACCGCAUGGUUUCAGUUUGAAAGAUGGUUUCGGCUAUCACUUCUGGAUGGACCCGCGGCGUAUUAGCUAGUUGGUGGAGUAAUGGUUCACCAAGGCAAUGAUACGUAGCCGACCUGAGAGGGUAAUCGGCCACAUUGGGACUGAGACACGGCCCAAACUCCUACGGGAGGCAGCAGUAGGGAAUCUUCCACAAUGGACGAAAGUCUGAUGGAGCAACGCCGCGUGAGUGAAGAAGGGUUUCGGCUCGUAAAACUCUGUUGUUGAAGAAGAACACAUCUGAGAGUAACUGUUCAGGUGUUGACGGUAUUUAACCAGAAAGCCACGGCUAACUACGUGCCAGCAGCCGCGGUAAUACGUAGGUGGCAAGCGUUGUCCGGACUUAUUGGGCGUAAAGCGAGCGCAGGCGGUUUCUUAAGUCUGAUGUGAAAGCCUUCGGCUUAACCGGAGAAGUGCAUCGGAAACUGGGAGACUUGAGUGCAGAAGAGGACAGUGGAACUCCAUGUGUAGCGGUGAAAUGC
Molecule: ribosomal RNA, 595 nt
Filed under: uncultured bacterium
Lineage: Bacteria
Description: bacterial SSU rRNA
Rfam family: Bacterial small subunit ribosomal RNA
Source: RNAcentral